CUCCCUUUCGGGCCGUGUCAAGCGGCGGCCACCAACGUGGAGGGCGGAAGCGGCCUCGCUGCGGGCGUCGCGUCGGGGCGGGCGCGCGCGGGCCUGCCGAGCCGCAGCCGUUAAGCGGCGCCGCUCGCGAUCCGCGGCCAGGGCCGGCGGGAGCCGGGAGGCAGCGCCGCCGGCGCCAUCGCCGGGGCUCACCUGUUGGCCGCCGCCCGCCGCCCCUUCGUCGCUGCGUGCCGCGCCGCGCCCGGCCGCUGCCGCCGCCAUGGCUGAGACCGAGGAGAGGAGCCUCGACGACUUCUUCGCCAAGCGGGACAAGAAGAAGCGGAAGGAGAAGAGCAGCCGGGGAGCCGCCGCCUCCAGCGCCGCCGCGGCCGCCGCCGCCUCCAGCGCCGCCGCCGCCUCCAGCGCGGCCGCCGCCGCCGGAGGGCCCCGCCCGGCCGACGGCAGCGGCUCCGGCGCCGCCUCCUCCACCGGCGGCUCCGCCAAGACCAAGGAAGAGGAUGAUUGGAAAGAGUUUGAGCAGAAGGAGGAAAUUGAUUAUAGUGGUCUUAGAGUUCAGUCCAUGCAAAUAAGUGAAAAAGAAGAUGAUGAAAGUGAAAAAAGAGAAGAACCAGGUGACAACUGGGAGGAAGCUGGAGGUGGUGUGGACAAAUCAUCUGGUCCUUGGAACAAGUCAGCUCCUGCACCAGCACCUGUUGUUGAAACAAUUGUUACGGAAGCCCCAGAACCAGUGCAAACCGGUGGUGUAUACAGGCCGCCUGGUGCCAGAGAGGGCAGGCCACGGAGAGCACAGCAAGGACCACCAGAAAUCUAUAGUGAUACGCAGUUUCCAUCACUGCAAUCCACUGCCAAGCUUGUAGACAGUAGAAACCUAACAUCUUAUUCGCUUUCUUGACUGAAACUACACAUUGAACAGAUGUCUUCAUCAAGCUGUCCAUGGUGAUGCCUAGAUCGUCCCCUUGAAAGAUCACAACUAAUUCAGAAUCCACCAGAGCAUAGUAUGUACAACUGUAACAAAAUGAUUCAAACCAUAAAAACAAGCUGAUACAAGAGAACAAAUGCAUUGAGAAACAGGUAAAAGGUGCAUGAAUCUGAUCUCCUACAGCCUAACUUCAUUGGUUUCAGUGGAGUUACUCUUUAUUUCUAUCACUUGAGAUCAGUUUCAUUAAAACUUAAUCUGAGAUCAUCUUGUUGGAAGAUGAGCUGUAACAAUCAUCAAAGUCAAGCACAAAAAAAAGUCCCAUAGCAAACUUGCUUUAAAUUUCUGGGUUAUUUUUCUCUUUGAAUCUGGCAGAGAUGAAGCAGAUGCAUUAUGCUGUCUCAAAAAAGCAAACAGGCUCAGGCACACUUAAUCUAGCAUAGCUGUAGUAAUACUAGACGUUAAAAUUAUAAUAUUUGGGAUGAAGGUAGGUGCAGCAACACUGGGGCCAAGCUUAGUCUUUUUUGUGGUUUGUUUCAUCUCUUUAUAUUCUCAUCUUAUACUUUAGAGAUGUUACAUCUGUGAAUAAGAUUAAGCCUUUAAGUGUUGAUUGCAUUUAUGAAUAAUGCUGUGUUUAUAGAUGCAAAGGUGUCAUAAAUAGUAGGCUGUACAUCCUAAAAGACUUGAGCCCUCCUUUAAGAGCUGCAUUGUCUCAAUAUUGGACUAUCACAUCAUGCAGACUAGCUGGAUUUGGUACUAACAAGGGUAUGUGGUUGAGAGGGUGUUAUACCUUGGAUUUUGCACUCAAAUUUUAUCUGUUAGCUGUUCCAUCUAUAGCACUUAAUUGUUUUCAAAUUGUUUUCAACAGAAUCCUAAUGUGGCUGCCAGGGAUUUUUAAAGUUUGCAAAUAUGAACAGAGUUUUUUUUUUCUCUUUUUCUUUUUUUUUUCCCCUUUCAAAAUUCAAUAAUUUCGGAAGUGGGGGUAGAAGGGAUACAAUGAGAAGCUUUACCAUUUAUUUGUCUGAAUGCAGGACUUACUUUCUACCCUUUCCCGUUUGUCUUAAAAGAUGCUCACUGAUGCCAAGUUUUGCUCCUGUCCAAAUCCUUGUCCCACUAUAUAUUUACUAACCACUCAAUACUUCACAGACUAUUUCUUUCUGACCGAGCACUGUGUCUCUGAUCUGGGAAUUAGGUAAAAGGCGCUUCAAGCCACUCUGACAGUGUUUCCUAGAUAAUUGGCUCCGCUUAUAUUUUCUGCAGCUCAAAGUACAGCAAAAAUCUAGUCACUAACUCGAGCUGUGCAGUUGAAGUAUUUGACUUUUCUUCACUCUCUAGUAUUGCUUUGUUCUUUUGUUCAGCUGCAUUAUUACCAUGCCAAGGAUCUCCAGUCAGGUACCUGGACCUGAUCCUGCCAAGCUCAGCAUCCCAUCCUUCCCCAGCAGGGCACAGUUCUCUGAGCAAGAACAGGCCACUGCUGUGUUUCUUCAGUCAGGGAUUUAGCUUCACACACAUGGCCUCAUUUCUGUUCCAAAAUGCCUGGCAAAUAAAUAUGAUUGAUAACCCUUUAUUUCUGAAGUACGGCAGUUUACUGUAUUUAAACCUAGAUCCUCAAAAGCUGCUUGAGUGUCUGAUUCCAACUGGCUUUGAGCACCUUGGGCUUAAUACAGCAAAAUGGAAGGAGUGGCAGUGGUCACAGUACAUGACAGUUCAGUAGUAGAACUCUUCAUAGUAACCUGUUAGCUCAAACACAAAAGCUUAUGAUUUAGACAGCAGCAUUGGCCUGACGUAUAAGAAAUUGUUUUAAUAUGAGAUGACUGAGGGAAGAGCAAUAAGCAGCCAGAUGGGUAGAGCUGGAGGAGAUAAUGCUCUUUACUCUCUACUUUAUAAAUGGAAUUUGCUUUCAGUGAUCUAUACUGGAAUGCCUCACUCUGAAAGUUAACGGAGGAAGUGAUGACAAAGCCACUGGAAUGCUUACAGCAGUAGGAGAGAGAGCGCAAUGCUCUCUGUGUGGGAAAAUGCAUGGCCAGGAGCCCAUUCAGCACAGCAGAAACUGUUUCAGUGAAGCGGAACAUAUAGUAUGAUCUAUUUCUGAGAAUCCCGGUGUGGUCCCCACAGUUUACACAGGAACCUAAUGGUACCUGUAUAUUUAUAUAAUUAUAUAUGUUUAUAGUCAUAAUUUAAGUUCAAAACAUGAAUAUAUAUAUUUUGUCAGUGCUUUUUUUUUUUUUUUUUUUACCCUGGUUUACCUAUCAUAGCUUCUGCGUAUGACAACUUCUAAAUGUGCAGUUGUUGUCCUUUCUCUCCCUGUUAGAGUAACUGUGUGAAACACUGUAAAGCACUUUUGUGAUGUUUCCUGUGAAGAAAGGUGAAGAAAAUAAAUUUAUCUUACAGCAGCAAAUGAAUUUAUACCUCCACAUUUGUCUCGCUUGGUGUGUUCACUAA
RNA transcript from Rhea pennata, 3358 nucleotides. It is a transcript of the gene named CDV3 homolog, with no coding region annotated. Lineage: Eukaryota; Metazoa; Chordata; Aves; Rheiformes; Rheidae. The transcript has 6 exons. The record is from RefSeq and is a predicted model, not a curated record.